RNAcentral lists this long non-coding RNA (1110 nucleotides) under Phasianus colchicus (ring-necked pheasant). Its description in RNAcentral is "lncRNA (ENSPCLG00000004909.1)". The record is from RNAcentral. Lineage: Eukaryota; Metazoa; Chordata; Aves; Galliformes; Phasianidae.
AAGAAACUCCUUUGCCUUAAUGUGCAUCCAAGCACCACAAGGCUGCAUUUCCAUACACACACUGCACAUACCUGAGCCUUUUGUGAAUGUCAUCUGUGCAUCCACUGGUGUGAUACUGGUAUUUUCUGCUUCUGUCCAAAACAGGAACAGCACACACUCUGGCAGGUUAAAUAUAAAACCAUCAUAAAAGAGGCCAAAAAAUAUUUUGAAGCAUUAAAUCUUUUCCAAAUAGAAACAGUAGAACUGCCAAGGAACGUUAGCAACCAGCAGGCAAUGACCUCACACUAUGGCCUGAGCAGAACUUAUGCCUUAUGCCUUUUGCUUCCUAUUGUGCCCUAAAAUGUGAAUAUUGGACACAAGAAGCCGCAGUGAAUGAAACAUCAGGUAAACACUUUUAGAACCUUAAAAAGCAUUGGAUCAAAGUUUUGAGAUGAGAUCCGCAAUGAUCUUAUUUUAGGCAAGCCACUUUCAUAGAUUUAAAGCCCAAAGUGCCCAUUUAGUUACAUGUAGCCCAUUUAGUUUGAUUUAGCCCAAAGAACCUCACCCAGUAAUUUCAGCAGCAAGCCUAUAACUUUGGUUUGAGCUAUGUUGUGCUUUAAAAUAGUUUUUGCCUUUUCUAGGUCCCUCAUUAAGCAACCUAGCUACCAAUUGCCACUGAAGCCUCUUGCUUUACAACUUCUUACCAUGAAUUCGCAUCAGAUAUGAGUAAUUGUUCCCAGUUCAUCUUCCCUGCAUCAGAUAUGAUUUCAAUGAAAAUAUGAUAAAUGAGAAUUUGUCAUCUAUUUUCCAGGUAGUCCUGGAGUCUGGAAUAUUGGAAAGGAGUGAGAAAGCAGAAAAGUACUGAUGGGCUCAACUUGCAGCAGAUUUCCAUUCCAUAUCAUGAGGAACUGGCUCUGCAACCCCAUUAUUAGUUUCCUAGCUGGAUCCCUUCUGCAGCAGUGUUGCUUCCAGAGGACUCUUCACCAUCAGCUGUGCCCAGAGGCGGGUUUUGGUGAAUGGAUUUGUGCUCCUUUGUUCACCUCCCCAUAAGAUACUAAAGACAAUAUCCACAUAAUCAAGUCCCAAUAACAUCUGAAUAAAGUAAUUGUAAAACAAACCUCCCGUUCUUUA